AAGAAUGGACCUCCAGAACGAAUUAAGUACUUAACCCGAGGUACCACUGUAUAAAUGAGCCUCUUACAUGUGAACCUUAAGUAUGUAUAGUGGUACCUCGGGUUAAGUACUUAAUUCGUUCCAGAG
Molecule: non-coding RNA, 126 nt
Organism: Podarcis lilfordi (Lilford's wall lizard)
Lineage: Eukaryota; Metazoa; Chordata; Lepidosauria; Squamata; Lacertidae
Source: the annotation of a GenBank genome assembly